AAUGCAGCUCCAAGUGGGUGGUAAAUUUCAUCUAAAGCUAAAUACCGGCGGGAGACCGAUAGCGCACAAGUAGAGUGAUCGAAAGAUGAAAAGCACUUUGAAAAUAGAGUCAAAAAGUACGUGAAAUUGUUGAAAGGGAAGCGCUUGAGACCAGACUCAGACCCAGGCAAACACCGCGCGCCCAGGGCCCGUGCAAUUGCCCGGUGCUGGGCCAGCAUCAGUUGGCGUGGAGGGACAAGGGCGCGCGAAAUGUGGCUCCCCUCGGGGAGUGUUAUCAGGCCCGCGCCGGAUGCCGCCGACGCCGACUGAGGACCGCGCCUCGGCUAGGAUGCUGGCUUAAUGGCCUUCAGCGACCCGUCUUGAAACACGGACCAAGGAGUCUAUCAUCUAUGCGAGUGUUUGGGCGCCAAACCCUUGCGCGGAAUGAAAGUGAGCGGAGGUGGGAACCCCUACCCGGGCGCACCAUCGACCGAUCCUGAUGUCUUCGGAUGGAUUUGAGUAGGAGCAUAGCUGUUGGGACCCGAAAGAUGGUGAACUAUGCCUGAAUAGGGUGAAGCCAGAGGAAACUCUGGUGGAGGCUCGCAGCGGUUCUGACGUGCAAAUCGAUCGUCAAAUUU
RNAcentral lists this ribosomal RNA (617 nucleotides) under Helvella cf. crispa. Its description in RNAcentral is "partial large subunit ribosomal RNA". It matches the Rfam family "Eukaryotic large subunit ribosomal RNA", at positions 279 to 912 of the family's 3401-position model. Lineage: Eukaryota; Fungi; Ascomycota; Pezizomycetes; Pezizales; Helvellaceae. The record is from RNAcentral.